GACUGUAGACUACCAAUCAGAAACGUAGGAUUCGCCGAUCGCAGACAACCAAUCACACGCCGCCAUUCAAAGCUGAACCUGCCGCUGAGGUCAACGGAGGUCACUGGUGAUCGUAGCCAACAGUAUUUCUGUGUAUUUCAGUAUCUAAAAGUGAAGAUGGCAACCCCAGUAAUCCACAUUGUCAACCCAGAGGCCCCUGCACACCGUCAACAGGCUGAACUGAUGGCAACUAAAGAGGCCCGUUGCUAUCGUGACAAAAAGAUAUUCUUCCCUAAACCUCCACAGGAGCUGCUCCUCCGGACAGCGCCCUGACACACGCAGAGAAGCUCCUUCCAGCAGAGGGCAUCCCUGCAUCAUCCCCUCAGCUGUGCCUGAAAAAGCUGGUAGUCCCUUGUGGCUAGUAUAGUACUUCUACUGGCUUGAUGCAAAUGAUGUGGGAUACAUAAAGCUUAUUAUAUUCAGUA
Long non-coding RNA from Etheostoma spectabile (orangethroat darter), 464 nucleotides. RefSeq lists it as uncharacterized. The transcript has 2 exons. The record is from RefSeq and is a predicted model, not a curated record. Lineage: Eukaryota; Metazoa; Chordata; Actinopteri; Perciformes; Percidae.